RNAcentral lists this long non-coding RNA (479 nucleotides) under Coffea arabica (coffee). RNAcentral describes it as "long non-coding RNA (CARA_LNC006144)". The record is from RNAcentral. Lineage: Eukaryota; Viridiplantae; Streptophyta; Magnoliopsida; Gentianales; Rubiaceae.
CUAGAGACCUCCAUGGCCUAUGCUACAACUGAUAACUCUAUUCAACCGAGAGGUCCUCCUCUGAUUUUUUAGUUGUCUCUCUUUUUGCCUAUCUUGUUUCAUUACUACUGGUAGGUUAUUUUACGCUUCACCAACUUGUUCCCGUCUUCUUAACCUAAAUUUUUUCCAUUUCUCAUUUUCUGGAUAAUUGCUUGGGUCUUGGUCACAAUAUGGUCUACUAUUACUAUUACUGAUUUCUGGGUUCCUUAUUCUUUAUGCUACUACUGCACGCUACUACGUUUGAAUCUUUGGCACUUCUGCAAAGUGAUACGUGAAUCAGAUAUUGCAAGUUCUUGAUCGUGAUCCUUGCCCAUGUUUUGCUCUUGAAUCCUAUCAUACUGUGAUCAAGUUCACAACUUCUUCUUGUUUGUUGUUUGGCGGGCUCAUCACAUCUGCCCUUUUUUUUUUUUUUUUUUUGGUUAACCAUAUCAAACAGAUGU